Molecule: ribosomal RNA, 465 nt
Filed under: Vreelandella stevensii
Lineage: Bacteria; Pseudomonadati; Pseudomonadota; Gammaproteobacteria; Oceanospirillales; Halomonadaceae
Description: partial 16S ribosomal RNA
Rfam family: Bacterial small subunit ribosomal RNA
Source: RNAcentral
CCUACGGGGAGCUGCAGUGGGGAAUAUUGGACAAUGGGCGAAAGCCUGAUCCAGCCAUGCCGCGUGUGUGAAGAAGGCCUUCGGGUUGUAAAGCACUUUCAGUGGGGAAGAAAGCCUUGGGGCUAAUACCCUCGAGGAAGGACAUCACCCACAGAAGAAGCACCGGCUAACUCCGUGCCAGCAGCCGCGGUAAUACGGAGGGUGCGAGCGUUAAUCGGAAUUACUGGGCGUAAAGCGCGCGUAGGCGGUCUGAUAAGCCGGUUGUGAAAGCCCCGGGCUCAACCUGGGAACGGCAUCCGGAACUGGCAGGCUAGAGUGCAGGAGAGGAAGGUAGAAUUCCCGGUGUAGCGGUGAAAUGCGUAGAGAUCGGGAGGAAUACCAGUGGCGAAGGCGGCCUUCUGGACUGACACUGACGCUGAGGUGCGAAAGCGUGGGUAGCAAACAGGAUUAGAUACCCUAGUAGUC